UUUACCAACCUCCUCAGGACCCACAAAAGACCUACACUGGCUAUGGUACCGGUCCCAAGGUGCCUGAAAUUCCUACUGUCCCUCAGAAACAAAAUGUUCCACCACCAUCAAACCCUCAGGUCUAUGUGCCUCCUCCUCAGAACCCUCAAGUUUACCAACCGCCUCAGGACCC
Melanotaenia boesemani (Boeseman's rainbowfish) is the source of this 172-nucleotide long non-coding RNA. RefSeq lists it as uncharacterized. The transcript has 3 exons. The record is from RefSeq and is a predicted model, not a curated record. NCBI's taxonomy places the organism in Eukaryota, Metazoa, Chordata, Actinopteri, Atheriniformes, Melanotaeniidae.